CCUUUUCCAGCGCGGCGGAGGGCGCCCCCUAGAACGCAGAGGGGGGGCAGAGGGAAGUGAGAUGGGGACUACGGGGUCUCCAGUGGUUCAAACCCUGUCGUUCCUCCGCGUUACAGAGCUACAGCGGUCUCCGGGUGGCGAAGUGCGGAGACGGGGUUUUGGAGACGGUGGAUGGAGGAGGGGGAGGGAAAGCUGCCAACUUUGGAUACCAACCCCGUACACCCACCGAAGGGGAUGUCCCACUUUUUCCAGCGCUGGGAGCAAAAAGAUAACAGUGAGCGAGGUUGAAAAAUUAUAAAGUAUCCCAGGACAGUGCUCUGUAACCAGCCCAUAGUAGCUACUGCUAUUUUACCAGCUACUGUAUCUUUCCUUCUUUGAUUUCCAGCACCUGACAGUGAAAAGAGCAAUUUGAAGAAAAACAAAAUUUAUCUUCAAUGUGAAAAGCAAUUUAUAAAAAUCCGAAUACUUGCCAGGAGCAACUUGACAAAAAAGACAAAGGUGGUAGAAGAAAUGUAACCAGCCCACAAUUCCAAUGUUGAUAACAGAUGAGCUCCCUUUCAAGGUGACUGACAUUUACACAAGUACACAGAGCAAGAAGAAGGUCUGAGUGAACUGCCAAGCAUUUUAACUUCUCCUGAGACCAAGUACAUCAACAGUUCUCUUGGAAAAGAACAACUGAUUUGGGAGUCUAGCAGACUGCCAGCUGCAAGACAUUCAUCCAGCAUCAGGAACACAAUGGGCCUUCAUUUGCCUGCCUUUCUGAGGGCACCAAUCAAAAGUAACAGCUGCCACCUUUUUCUAUGAGACUUGAUUAUAAUUUUCUAUGGCCAAGGGUUUGCUGUGACACUUCCACAUCAUUCUUCAGUAUGUAGUCCAGAGAUUAGCUACAGAUUCAAGAAACACAGACUGUAAACUAUUAUAUACAGACAUAUCUCAAAAUAAGCAUACCCAUUAGUGCCAGCUGCCCUGAAAGACUGAAUGACCCCAGCUAUUUUCCAAAUGUUUUUUCAGAAAGCCAUGAACACACCUUUCUGGGAUCCUAUCUAUUUCAAAGACAGGCAAAGCUCUGUGGUUCAGUUCCACCACCCAGUACCAAGCCCACAGUAUGCAGACCAUACGCCUUACACAUGGCCUUUUCUCUUUAUGUAAUUGCUGUACCAUAUUCAGCAGAUCUAGACUGACUCAAAGCAUGUUCCCUCAAGAAGCUCCACAGAAAAAAAGGUUUCUGUGAUCAAAAAUCAUUUGGGAAAUGCUGCAAACCCUAUCUGCCUCUUAGAGCUUAACCAUGCAUGUCGGGGCAUAAUAUAAACCUUUUCCAGUCUGGGCCACAGAGUGAGACCCCACCUCUAAAAUAAUAAAUCAAUAAACUCUUGAGAAGUACACAGAAAAGAAACUUCUGUAACUUUUUAGGUCUUAAUUACAAGCAAUUGUAGCUUAA
RNAcentral lists this long non-coding RNA (1438 nucleotides) under Homo sapiens (human). RNAcentral's name for it is "HSALNT0348489". The record is from RNAcentral. Lineage: Eukaryota; Metazoa; Chordata; Mammalia; Primates; Hominidae.